GCGCAAAUUACCCACUCCCGGCACGGGGAGGUAGUGACGAAAAAUAACGAUACGGGACUCAUCCGAGGCCCCGUAAUCGGAAUGAGCACACUUUAAACCCUUUAACGAGUAUCCAUUGGAGGGCAAGUCUGGUGCCAGCAGCCGCGGUAAUUCCAGCUCCAAUAGCGUAUAUUAAAGUUGUUGCGGUUAAAAAGCUCGUAGUUGGAUUUGUGUCCCACGCUGUCGGUUCACCGUUCGUCGGUGUUUAACUGGCAUGCCCGUGCGGACGUCCUGCCGGUGGAUGCGGUCGACCGUGGGCCUCUGGUCUGCGCGUCGGCGGUCCGAUGCAAUCCUACCGCGGUGCUCUUCACCGAGUGUCGAGGUGGGCCGGCACGUUUACUUUGAACAAAUUAGAGUGCUCAAAGCAGGCAGUGGUUCGCCUGAAUAUUGUGUGCAUGGAAUAAUGGAAUAGGACCUCGGUUCUAUUUUGUUGGUUUUCGGAACUUGAGGUAAUGAUUAAUAGGGACAGACGGGGGCAUUCGUAUUGCGACGUUAGAGGUGAAAUUCUUGGAUCGUCGCAAGACGAACCUAAGCGAAAGCAUUUGCCAUGGGUGUUUUCAUUAGUCAAGAACGAAAGUUAGAGGUUCGAAGGCGAUCAGAUACCGCCCUAGUUCUAACCAUAAACGAUGCCAGCUAGCGAUCCGCCGAAGUUCCUCCGAUGACUCGGCGGGCAGCUUCCGGGAAACCAAAGCUUUUGGGUUCCGGGGGAAGUAUGGUUGCAAAGCUGAAACUUAAAGGAAUUGACGGAAGGGCACCACCAGGAGUGGAGCCUGCGGCUUAAUUUGACUCAACACGGGAAACCUCACCAGGCCCGGACACCGGAAGGAUUGACAGAUUGAGAGCUCUUUCUUGAUUCGGUGGGUGGUGGUGCAUGGCCGUUCUUAGUUGGUGGAGCGAUUUGU
Molecule: ribosomal RNA, 941 nt
Filed under: Pseudophasma flavipes
Lineage: Eukaryota; Metazoa; Arthropoda; Insecta; Phasmatodea; Pseudophasmatidae
Description: SSU rRNA
Rfam family: Eukaryotic small subunit ribosomal RNA
Source: RNAcentral